Mytilus californianus (California mussel) is the source of this 117-nucleotide long non-coding RNA. RefSeq lists it as uncharacterized. The transcript has 3 exons. The record is from RefSeq and is a predicted model, not a curated record. NCBI's taxonomy places the organism in Eukaryota, Metazoa, Mollusca, Bivalvia, Mytilida, Mytilidae.
AAUCUUUUGUAGCAAAGGAAAUACCAUCAAAGAGGCGAAAGAGAGGAGCAAAGAAAGCUGAAGAAAAUGGUGAUGAAGCUGAUAUUCAGGGACAGCCUCAGAAGGAACAUUUAGGAG